AUUGAACGCUGGCGGCAUGCCUUACACAUGCAAGUCGAACGGCAGCACGGGUGCUUGCACCUGGUGGCGCGUGGCGAACGGGUGAGUAAUACAUCGGAACGUACCUUAUCGUGGGGGAUAACGCAGCGAAAGCUGUGCGAAUACCGCAUACGACCUGAGGGGGAAAGCGGGGGAUCGCAAGACAUCGGGCGAUUAGAGCGGCCGAUGCCUGAUUAGCUUGUUGGUGGGGUAAAAGCCCACCAAGGCGACGAUCAGUAGCUGGUCUGAGAGGACGAUCAGCCACACUGGGACUGAGACACGGCCCAGACUCCUACGGGAGGCAGCAGUGGGGAAUUUUGGACAAUGGGGGCAACCCUGAUCCAGCAAUGCCGCGUGAGUGAAGAAGGCCUUCGGGUUGUAAAGCUCUUUUGUCAGGGAAGAAACACCGGCUCUAACACAGUCUGGGAAUGACGGUACCUGAAGAAUAAGCACCGGCUAACUACGUGCCAGCCGCCGCGGUAA
RNAcentral lists this ribosomal RNA (501 nucleotides) under uncultured bacterium. RNAcentral describes it as "partial 16S ribosomal RNA". It matches the Rfam family "Bacterial small subunit ribosomal RNA", at positions 29 to 523 of the family's 1533-position model. The record is from RNAcentral.